GGAUCCAGACUUUGAUCCUGGCUCAGGAUGAACGCUAGCUACAGGCUUAACACAUGCAAGUCGAGGGGCAGCGGUAUCGGAAGCUUGCUUUCGGUAGCCGGCGACCGGCGCACGGGUGAGUAACGCGUAUCGAACCUGCCUCAUACUCGGGAAUAGCCUUGCGAAAGUAAGAUUAAUGCCCGGUGUUUUCAGAGUCCCGCAUGAGGCUUUGAACAAAGAUUUAUCGGUAUGAGAUGGCGAUGCGUCCCAUUAGCUUGUUGGCGGGGUAACGGCCCACCAAGGCAUCGAUGGGUAGGGGUUCUGAGAGGAAGGUCCCCCACAUUGGAACUGAGACACGGUCCAAACUCCUACGGGAGGCAGCAGUGAGGAAUAUUGGUCAAUGGGCGGAAGCCUGAACCAGCCAAGUAGCGUGCAGGAAGACGGCCCUCCGGGUUGUAAACUGCUUUUAGUUGGGAAUAAAACGGGGCUCGUGAGCCCCCUUGCAUGUACCAUCAGAAAAAGGACCGGCUAAUUCCGUGCCAGCAGCCGCGGUAAUACGGAAGGUCCGGGCGUUAUCCGGAUUUAUUGGGUUUAAAGGGAGCGCAGGCGGACCUUUAAGUCAGCUGUGAAAUACGGCGGCUCAACCGUCGAACUGCAGUUGAUACUGGAGGUCUUGAGUGCACACAGGGAUGCUGGAAUUCAUGGUGUAGCGGUGAAAUGCUCAGAUAUCAUGAAGAACUCCGAUCGCGAAGGCAGGCAUCCGGGGUGCAACUGACGCUGAGGCUCGAAAGUGCGGGUAUCAAACAGGAUUAGAUACCCUGGUAGUCCGCACAGUAAACGAUGAAUACUCGCGGUUUGCGAUACAGUGUAAGCCGCCAAGCGAAAGCGUUAAGUAUUCCACCUGGGGAGUACGCCGGCAACGGUGCAACUCAAAGGAAUUGACGG
Molecule: ribosomal RNA, 924 nt
Filed under: uncultured Bacteroidota bacterium
Lineage: Bacteria; Pseudomonadati; Bacteroidota
Description: bacterial SSU rRNA
Rfam family: Bacterial small subunit ribosomal RNA
Source: RNAcentral